CUGCGUGAUGAACUAGGUCUACGACGAACAACUCGUCUGAUCACCUCUGUUGAUGACCCUACAUACCUUUUGCUUCCUCACUGACUG
RNAcentral lists this small nucleolar RNA (87 nucleotides) under Leishmania guyanensis. RNAcentral describes it as "C/D box small nucleolar RNA". Lineage: Eukaryota; Euglenozoa; Kinetoplastea; Trypanosomatida; Trypanosomatidae. RNAcentral also lists the same sequence under 1 other name. The record is from RNAcentral.